Molecule: long non-coding RNA, 336 nt
Organism: Pleuronectes platessa (European plaice)
Lineage: Eukaryota; Metazoa; Chordata; Actinopteri; Pleuronectiformes; Pleuronectidae
Exons: 3
Source: RefSeq, a predicted model, not a curated record
GCUGUUUUCUAGCUUGCAUGACAGGGGAUGAUAAUCAUUUCUUUGCAUCCCUUUUCAAAGUGUGAAAACUUCCUUUUUCUGUAAAGUCUCAUUCUCGGAGUGAGGCUGUGUGUGACAGACUGAUACAAGUGGGUCCUCUGAGAAAUCCAGUUGUAGUCCCACAUGAGAUGGAGGCUCAGACAGUCACGUGGUUGGUUUUUCUGGCCCUAAUAAAACAUGUUUCUACAAGUGACUAUGGAAGUCCCGUUAAAUGUAUGUACAAUACAAAUCUGAAUAUGGAAAUAUGUUUCAGAAUAUACAUAAAAUUACAAUCAGGACACAAAUGUGUCCUUCCUG